UUGGUUUCGUUUUUGUUCGUUGGUUCCAAGACCGAAGUCUCUUCGCCUAAGAUAAGUUCAUACCAGUUUGAUUCCAAUCACUCGUGAAAGUGGUUGAAAAAGGGGUUUGGUCUAACGCAUGCUCAUCAAUCCCCGAAAGGAUCGACAAACGAAAUUUUAUUGGUUCGCGGGACAAAAAAAGAAAGACACAAGAAGUCCCGGGAUGUUUAGAGCCCUUUCCCCCGAUGCCUUCCCUCUCUUUUUGUUGUUACAGGGUGUGGUAAUGAUCCUUCCGCAGGUUCACCUACGGAAA
Molecule: unclassified non-coding RNA, 292 nt
Filed under: uncultured fungus
Lineage: Eukaryota; Fungi
Description: sequence contains ITS1
Source: RNAcentral